Helianthus annuus (common sunflower) is the source of this 1110-nucleotide long non-coding RNA. RefSeq lists it as uncharacterized. The record is from RefSeq and is a predicted model, not a curated record. Lineage: Eukaryota; Viridiplantae; Streptophyta; Magnoliopsida; Asterales; Asteraceae. The transcript has 3 exons.
UUUAACUCAACAGUGGUUUCAAACACUGUUAACCCAAAAGUGGUUUCAAAACACUGUUUUAACAACACUGUUUUAACCCAACAGUGGUUUCAAACAAUGUUUUAACCCAAACUUCCAUCCCCUUUAUCAAAGUUAGAGGCUUGGUAAUUAUCAAAGUUAAUGGAGGGUGCCUUAUAUAACUUACACUAUUUGUCAGUUAACUUUACCUCAAAUGAUGUAGGUAUACAAUUUGUGGGGUGGUUUAUGUGUUUGGUUAAAUGGUUGGUUUGGCUCUAACCAUGCAUCAUUUCCAAUUCAUUUUUACAACAAAUGAUGUUUUUGCAAGAGCUUCUACCUCAACUUAACCAACAGCAAUCCACUUUGUAGGUGGGUCUUAUCCAGACAGGUGUUGCUACAAGUACAAACAUAUUUCUGUUAACUUUAUCACAGUCACAGUUAUAUGUAAUAGUGUUUCGUGCUUAUAAUCUGUCACACUCCCAAAAUACCACAUGCGGAAUCCCCCGCGAAGCGUGUGAUGUACCAGGAUCUAGUCAGUAAUCACAUUGAACUCAUAACAAGAUUCCAAGUAAAAAAGCUAUCAUUCAUUUCAAAUAAGUGUUACAAAUCAUAAUUUAUAAAUCGUUAUGUUCAGCGGAAGCAUAAUACAAAGUUUAACCAAAUCCCAAGUGUACGAAACCGGCAAGUCCCGUUUCAAGUUUCCAUGUAUCUCGACCCAUGACCACUCCAGCAUCUCAGAUAGCAAGUUCCACAUCCACACAUACCUACAACCUGCGAGCAUGCACACACGUGUAUCAGACAACGCUGGGAUACCCAACGAAUGUCCCAACCACCAGGACGCAUGCUCAAGAGGAAUGAACACACCUUUGGUUUGCUCGGUAAGAUUAGUUACUUGUUUAACAGUUGCUCAAACACGCCCUAACAUGGGUACCGGUAACAAUCACUUUUGAAUGCACAUACACUAGAUAUUUCACGCAUGAUUAAUUCAUAUACUCCCUAAUCACAUACCACGUAGUCUAAUGUAUAAGUAACACACAUACUAUCAUACGUAUUGUAACAGUUGACCAUACAAUGUAAUUCGGCAACAUACAUCAAAAUAUCACAUAGUAGGUG